AAAAAUAUAACUUGACACAACUUUAUCAUUUCUAUUUGACUAGAGAUUGAAAUCAAUAUUCUAUAGAUUUUAAGUCAGACUCUCCAUAAACGAGCCAUUGGUCCUUAGUAUUUCUCAAAUACUUAAGGAUUGUUCUAAUAACCUUUAAAUUUUUAUGGAGAAUAGAGAUGACAAUCAAGCUUUUAUUUUCUGUAGUGUAGGGAUGUUAUUCUCGAUUAAGAGAAUUUCAUCCAAACAAUACA
Molecule: long non-coding RNA, 242 nt
Filed under: Elaeis guineensis (African oil palm)
Lineage: Eukaryota; Viridiplantae; Streptophyta; Magnoliopsida; Arecales; Arecaceae
Description: long non-coding RNA (EGUI_LNC057832)
Source: RNAcentral